GACACGUGACAAGGUCAACAACAAUUCUAAACAACUUGUAUGCACCCUCAUCUUCCCAAACGCGUAAACAACGCCCAAAAACAAUCACAAAGAAUGAUUCCAAUCUCGAACAUGUGAAAUUGUUCUCGCGCUUUCGUAUUGAUCCACGUAGCGUUCAAGGAAGAUCGAUCUAUCAAAUCCGUCUAUUUUUCUUUCCUCUUCUAGAAUGGAGCUAAACUUUCAGAAAAGGUUGUUUCUCUCAAAUGGUGAAAGAAUUUUGAGUUUUGAUUCGGGGGUGGGACUCGUUCUUAUCAAUUUUUCUUCUUUUCCCCCAAUUCCGAAACCUAAUAUCUUCCCAUAUUUACCUCCUCUUUUCACUGUGAGCGGGGGAAUUUCUUUGGGAGAAAAUAAUGUUUUUGUGAUAGACAUAGAGAGUUGAAUACAGAAAAAAUGAAAGGGAUGUUUGGAUGAUUUUUUUGUAAAAAAAGAGUUUCAAUUAGAUGAGACAUUAGAGAAAGAUUUGGAUAUAAGCUCAGUGCUUAGAGGAAACUGUACGUUUGAGAAGUUCUCGAAGAUAUUUGGUUCAGUCUUUACAUUUGUCCGCUUUGUUUUGUCCUUCCAAGUUUUUUGGGAUUCGUCGUUUCGGUGCACAAGUCGUUAAUAGCUCGUUGCUUUCAGUUAAAUUCCAGAGAAAAGUAUUAAUCCAACACGCGAGCCUCUAAGAACAAGAAUGUUGAUUGUCCCCGACACUUAUCUAAAAGUGUUGUGGAGAUUCAUGAACUAUACAUUCAGAAUGACAGUUCAAAAACACAUAGGUUAUCUCCGUCGCUGUUGGAAAUAAAGGAUUUGUCAACCCUAUUAGAACAAUGGUAAAGUUUUGGAACAGUAAAAACAUGGUAUUCUGGUUCGGGGAAGUGGAAAUGAUGCCGACUAUUGAAGCAUUCCUCAUAAGCUAUGAGAGUAUCGCCAAUUUCAACAAGAGGAAACGUCAACCAAAUACAGAUCUUCUAAAUAAAAAAAUAUGGAAUUUCACCGAAAUCAAGGAGAAACUGUAACUUGUCAAAGCGGAGUGGAUGGACAAACUUCUCGGCAAAAAUAUUCCCUUUAGAAAGCUAUAUUAUCGAUUUGGACGUGCAAGGGUUUACGAGAAAUUUAAAGAAGAGUUCGUCUCGAAAUAAAAAUUAAAGGAGACACAUCCUCUUGCCUUUCCAAUAUGCUUACUUGGAACAAUGGUGUUUCCUCAAGGGAAACUACUCUAGUCAUCCAAGUGUAGUAAUGAUCGUUCAUUCCAUCUUCUACGGAGUGGACUGUAAGUCGUCAAUCGAGUACUACACUUUGGUGCGUAUGAUCUUUAACGACAUCUAGAGAAUUUUAGAUAAAUAUCAAAGCGGAGAGCGUUUAUUUCAAGGAUGCAAUCUGAUAAUUUAACGGUGGAUGAUGCAACAUCUGAUCAAAAGUCAUAAUCCAAAAGAACCACAUCCGGUAAGACUGUCAGACGAACAUCAAGGUCAUGACUUGUGGAUGUACCAUAAUCAUUGCAACAGAACCGGAGAAGAAGACUUCAAGUAUCUGAGACUUCAGGGGUUAAUAGAAGAGGAUGUACAAUGGUCAAUAGACAGUGUAGUGGUGACGAAGGAUAUGGUGGUUCGAACGGAAAAGGUUCCUUACUUGGUAUUUGCUGGAUUAAGAGGAACUAGACCGCACUACUCCCGGUCGAGUCCUAAGGCUAGUAGGAGGGAAGCAAGAGCUACCCCAAAUCGCAGACAUGAAGAAAUUUGAAACAGAUCACAAAAAUGGACGAGUCACAUUUGCGGAAGAUACAUACAAAUUAUGGAGGUCUCAAAGAGUAUUAGGUGAGCCGGUACCGAAUAGGUUUCACCCUAAAUGUUCUAAGGAUUACAUGGAAUGGUUGAAGAAGACCCGUCACGAGAACUAUUGGGCUUAGUCUGACUGUUCCUCAUAUUAUUGCAGAUGUUGGUGCUAGACAUCAAGUUCAACUUAACCGACUUCAAGAAAGGUUCGAUAAGAAUGAGUUGGAGCAUCAACUCCGACAUUCUAUGGACGCCAAAGUUAUAUCUCAA
Molecule: long non-coding RNA, 2060 nt
Organism: Solanum pennellii
Lineage: Eukaryota; Viridiplantae; Streptophyta; Magnoliopsida; Solanales; Solanaceae
Exons: 2
Source: RefSeq, a predicted model, not a curated record